AAAAAAUUAGUUAAAAUAUAACAUUAAUUUGUCAAAUUAAAAUUAUUAAUAUUUAAUAUUUUUUA
Molecule: transfer RNA, 65 nt
Filed under: Dexia tenuiforceps
Lineage: Eukaryota; Metazoa; Arthropoda; Insecta; Diptera; Tachinidae
Description: tRNA-Asp
Source: RNAcentral